RNAcentral lists this ribosomal RNA (420 nucleotides) under uncultured bacterium. RNAcentral's name for it is "partial 16S ribosomal RNA". It matches the Rfam family "Bacterial small subunit ribosomal RNA", at positions 338 to 755 of the family's 1533-position model. The record is from RNAcentral.
CCUACGGGAGGCAGCAGUGAGGAAUAUUGGUCAAUGGACGAGAGUCUGAACCAGCCAAGUAGCGUGAAGGAUGACUGCCCUAUGGGUGGUAAACUUCUUUUAUAUGGGAAUAAAAUGUUCCACGUGUGGGAUUUUGUAUGUACCAUAUGAAUAAGGAUCGGCUAACUCCGUGCCAGCAGCCGCGGUAAUACGGAGGAUCCGAGCGUUAUCCGGAUUUAUUGGGGUUAAAGGGAGCGUAGGGGGAUUGUUAAGUCAGUUGGGAAAGUUUGCGGCUCAACCGUAAAAUUGCAGUUGAAACUGGCAGUCUUGAGUACAGUAGAGGUGGGCGGAAUUCGUGUUGUAGCGGUGCACUGCUUCGAUCUCACGAAGAACUCCGAUUGCGAAGGCAGCUCACUGGACUGCACCUGCCACUGCGGCUCG